RNAcentral lists this microRNA (23 nucleotides) under Oreochromis niloticus (Nile tilapia). RNAcentral's name for it is "oni-miR-10808". The record is from miRBase by way of RNAcentral. Lineage: Eukaryota; Metazoa; Chordata; Actinopteri; Cichliformes; Cichlidae.
ACGGAAAGCCGUGCGGCCGGGCU